UGUACUCGACCGUGCAUGACAUAAUCCGUCUUAAGUCGCGAUACUAAAGCGGUCGGGGAGGAUCGACCAUGAACGACAGUCGCACUUCGGAAUGGAUAGUGCGGGUGGGCAGCGACGAAUUUCCAGCGCAUGAUUCGGGCAUGGUCAGAGAGUGGAUCGUUGCUGGGCGAGUUCCUGCGUGGGCGAUGCUCCAGCGGCCAGGAGAGACCCUGUGGACGAGGGCAGAUGGCGCACCUGAAACGCGCGAUUUGUUUCCUGCGGGGCGCAACCCGCUUCUCGAGCGAUUUCUACCGCAGAUACAGAACGCAAAGGAUGCAUCAGACCUUUGCAAGAUAGGCGCUGCUGCCGCUGCGGUGUCGGCUGCGAUCGCUCUAGCCUUUGUUCUGUGGGGCAACGGCGCCUUGGGCGUAGAUGACUUGUCUCUAGUCGAUGUCGGGAUCUACUCCCUCUGUGGAGUGGGGAUCUGGAGAGGCUGGAGAUCCGCCGCCAUCGUUGCCACGAUCACCUUCGCAGCUGGGAAGACCUAUCAGCUGAUGACCCUUCCGAAAAUACAUCCGUUCUUCGUGUUCAUCAGCCUUGUGUUCUUCCUGGCUUUCGUGAACGCGGCCAGAGGCUCAUUCGCUCUAAAGCGGUAUCGAGUCGGAAGGCAGAUCGCUCAAGGGGGGCGACGUGACACUGAGUUGUGAAACGAUUCUCGAUUGGCGUGGCAAAGGUUGGGGGCGAUCGCACUUGCCGGGAUAGGGCUAAUCGUUUUCGUAUGAGCGGCGUACGAAACGCGAGAGGCGUAUUUCGAGAGGCAGAACGCGCCGCUCGCGACCUGCGAGGGUAUGUUGGAAUGCGAGAAAAGGCGAUCAGAACAACUUGGUCGUUCAUUGGAGUGUUUUUGCUUGGUGUCUCGACUGCGGCAUUUCUAAAGAACACCGGCUUCAAAAGCUUCGACGCUCUCCUUCCGUUUGACUCGUUCGGGCAACACGGUGUGGCCGCAGUGGCGCUACCUGUGAUCUGUGUGCUUCUCAGCUUGCAAGCCGUCCUAACGAUCGUCUAUCGAGCCAAAGUGAAGACGCGGCGUUCUCAGUCGCGCCUGUCCCUGGUGCCGGUUUUCUUUUUCGAGCCGAAGGAAGUUUGUCCGGACACCACAUCCGGAGUGGUGUACCAGUCGGUGUUUCUAUGUCUUUUCCUGCUCUUCCCGCUCGCGAUCUCAGUGAAACUGAUGCAUUCGUUCCAGAGUUCACGUGUGUUGCUUCGCAACAGAAGCUUUAUAACCGAAUUCACUCAUUUCACAGUUUCACCUUCAAGAAUCAGAUGGGACGACUGGCUAAGAGGAACGUAUGAAUUGGAUGGUCUCUCAUAUUACCCGCUCGUUCAGCCGUCUCUGUAUCUAGUUCUUCAUGUUCUGAGCGCACUCCUAGUCGGGUGGGCGUGUUUUCGCUUAUCACGGAACUCGCCCCAAGUGCCGCGGGACGGUUUCUCCACAGCACGGUUUCUCCACAGUGCCGCUAGGUUGCAGGCUUCGGGCCGCCAGCGCUGAUGACUGGGUACAUUCGAGGCGUGAUCGGACGCAGCGUGAAAGCGCCUUCAGCCAAGAUCACGGCGCUGGAAAGGUCCGCGCCCCGGGUUUAAUGACUCCGGGGAUGCUGUCAAUCGCUGGCAUCUAUCUCGUGCCGAUCCUUGCUAUCUGGUCAUCGGUGAGUGGGUGGUGGCGCGAGUCGCGCCACAUCGUCGCGAGCUUCCAUGCGCGUUCGUUGAGGCGUGUCUUGAGUGUCGUGAUGUCCGGGGCACCGAGAGUGGUCGCGAGCGUCUGCGCGAUCGUCGUGCGGGUUGCGCUGUGGAUGAAGUGUGGCGUCUGGCGCAGGUACACGCUCGACCAUGGAACCCACGGGUUACGCACGCUCCUCAAGUGCUUCUGGGGCGACUUGGCCGCGGAGAAAGAGGAGGUAGUCGGCGGCGGUGUACUGCUCGAGUGGCAGAGCCGUCGCGAGGGGUCCCUCCUCGUGUCGUUGCUGCAGGAGGUAGCCGUGGUAGGAGAUCUUGCCGUAUUGCCGCUUAAGCGGUUCAAGGCUUUCGAGCCAGUGAUCGGCGUAGGUGAAGUCGACGGGCUCGCCGUUGGCGUGGCGCGCGUUUCUGAUCGUGAGUGGUUCGUUGAGGAUGUCCGUGAUGAUCUCGUAGCGUUCCUCCUGCAGGAGUGUGGCGAUGAGGAUGACAAGGAGUUCGUUGCCGAGGAACUUCCAAUAGUCGAAGUCGCGGCGGU
This 2248-nucleotide unclassified non-coding RNA is filed under the name uncultured fungus. Its description in RNAcentral is "sequence contains 18S rRNA gene, ITS1, 5.8S rRNA gene, ITS2, 28S rRNA gene". Lineage: Eukaryota; Fungi. The record is from RNAcentral.